RNAcentral lists this ribosomal RNA (429 nucleotides) under Gemmatimonadota bacterium. RNAcentral's name for it is "Gemmatimonadetes bacterium partial 16S ribosomal RNA". It matches the Rfam family "Bacterial small subunit ribosomal RNA", at positions 355 to 776 of the family's 1533-position model. Lineage: Bacteria; Pseudomonadati; Gemmatimonadota. The record is from RNAcentral.
UAGGGAAUCUUCGGCAAUGGACGAAAGUCUGACCGAGCAACGCCGCGUGAGUGAAGAAGGUUUUCGGAUCGUAAAACUCUGUUGUUAGAGAAGAACAAGGACGUUAGUAACUGAACGUCCCCUGACGGUAUCUAACCAGAAAGCCACGGCUAACUACGUGCCAGCAGCCGCGGUAAUACGUAGGUGGCAAGCGUUGUCCGGAUUUAUUGGGCGUAAAGCGAGCGCAGGCGGUUUCUUAAGUCUGAUGUGAAAGCCCCCGGCUCAACCGGGGAGGGUGAUUGGAAACUGGGAGAUUUGAUCCCCGAACAGGAGCGUGUCCGUCUAUGGGCUGCGGUGAAAUGCUUAGUUGUUGUUGGCAACCCUCUUGGCGAAGGCGGCUAGCUGGUCGGUAACUGACGCUGAGGCUCGAAAGCGUGGGGAGCAAACAGG